GUGCUUGCUUCAGCAGCACAUGUACUAAAAUUGGAAUGAUACAAAGAACAUUAGCACAGCCCCUGCACAAGGAUGACAUGCAAAUUCAUGAAGCAUUCCAUAUUUUU
Molecule: small nuclear RNA, 107 nt
Filed under: Salvator merianae (Argentine black and white tegu)
Lineage: Eukaryota; Metazoa; Chordata; Lepidosauria; Squamata; Teiidae
Source: RNAcentral